GGAGAAUACAUGAGCUGAAUUCUUGUUCUACCUAAGGCCCCAAACAAUGUGGACUUCUGUAUCAUGAACUUACUAACUUUGGACCUCUUCAAAUUUCUCAAAGCUAACAUGUCCUCUGAAUUUCCCUUGAAUUCAAUGAACUCGCCAAGAAUGUUUUUAUCACUAUUAAGCUCUAACCGAUCCCAAGUUGGUGAUGUACUGAGAGCGAAAUGAAUC
Molecule: unclassified non-coding RNA, 216 nt
Filed under: Hevea brasiliensis (rubber tree)
Lineage: Eukaryota; Viridiplantae; Streptophyta; Magnoliopsida; Malpighiales; Euphorbiaceae
Source: RNAcentral